RNAcentral lists this ribosomal RNA (290 nucleotides) under Gigaspora rosea. Its description in RNAcentral is "partial 18S ribosomal RNA". It matches the Rfam family "Eukaryotic small subunit ribosomal RNA", at positions 1543 to 1830 of the family's 1831-position model. The record is from RNAcentral. Lineage: Eukaryota; Fungi; Glomeromycota; Glomeromycetes; Diversisporales; Gigasporaceae.
UGGGUAAUCUUUUGAAACUUCAUCGUGAUGGGGAUAGAGCAUUGCAAUUAUUGCUCUUCAACGAGGAAUCCCUAGUAAGCACGAGUCAUCAGCUCAUGCUGAUUACGUCCCUGCCCUUUGUACACACCGCCCGUCGCUACUACCGAUUGAAUGGCUUAGUGAGACCCUCGGAUCGAUAAGUGGAAACCUUCACGGGUAUCCUUUUGUUGAGAAGUUGGUCAAACUUGGUCAUUUAGAGGAAGUAAAAGUCGUAACAAGGUAGCCGUAGGUGAACCUGCGGAAGGAUCAUU